CUCAGCUGUCCAUUCUUCCCUCACUGCUCUAUGAACCCAACUGCAUAGAUCCACGCCAUUCGUUCCUUGUGGAGCCGAGUUAAUAGACACUUUUCCGGUGAUUUGUAAACAACCAUGUGCUGAGCUGCAAUAGGUUGUGCUAUCAAGGAGGCAAGACCGAAGUCAGAAACAAGAACCGCAUCGUUUUCAUCGAAUAGUACGUUUGAAGACCGCAAGUUGCCGUGUGGGACAACGUUUUGGAACUUGUGGUUGAGGUGCAGGUACACCAAUGCUCGAGCCACUCCUCUUGCAACUGACAAUCUUGAGUUCCAACUGAACGGUGCCCGGUUUCCGCCUCUAUCUGAAAUGUCA
This 351-nucleotide small RNA is filed under the name Vigna angularis var. angularis. RNAcentral's name for it is "Non-protein coding transcript". The record is from RNAcentral. Lineage: Eukaryota; Viridiplantae; Streptophyta; Magnoliopsida; Fabales; Fabaceae.